UCCGAAGUAGCUCAGUGGUAGAGCAAUCGGCUGUUAACCGAUUGGUCGUAGGUUCGAAUCCUACCUUCGGAGCCA
Molecule: transfer RNA, 75 nt
Filed under: Ureibacillus thermosphaericus
Lineage: Bacteria; Bacillati; Bacillota; Bacilli; Caryophanales; Caryophanaceae
Also listed under: 9 other names
Description: tRNA-Asn
Rfam family: tRNA
About the family: Transfer RNA (tRNA) molecules are approximately 80 nucleotides in length.
Source: RNAcentral